GAGGAAUAUUGGUCAAUGGGGGCAACCCUGAACCAGCCAAGUCGCGUGAAGGAUGAAGGUCUUAUGGAUUGUAAACUUCUUUUACACGGGAAUAAAGCGGGGGACGUGUCCCUCUUUGCAUGUACCGUGUGAAUAAGGAUCGGCUAACUCCGUGCCAGCAGCCGCGGUAAUACGUAGGCAGCAAGCGUUGUCCGGAGUUACGGGGCGUAAAGAGUGCGUAGGCGGUUUUCUAAGUUCGGUGUGAAAUCUCCCGGCUUAACUGGGAGGGUGCGCCGAAGACUGGGAAGCUGGAGUGUGGGAAAGGCAGGCGGAAUUCCUGGUGUAGCGGUGAAAUGCGUAGAUAUCAGGAGGAACACCGGCGGUGUAGACGGCUUGCUAGACCAUAACUGACGCUGAGGCACGAAAGCGUGGGUAGCAAACA
Molecule: ribosomal RNA, 421 nt
Filed under: uncultured bacterium
Lineage: Bacteria
Description: bacterial SSU rRNA
Rfam family: Bacterial small subunit ribosomal RNA
Source: RNAcentral